GACGAACGCUGGCGGCGUGCCUAAUACAUGCAAGUCGAGCGAAGUUUUUCUGGUGCUUGCACCGGAAAAACUUAGCGGCGAACGGGUGAGUAACACGUAAAGAACCUGCCUCAUAGACUGGGACAACUAUUGGAAACGAUAGCUAAUACCGGAUAAUAGCAUUAACUGCAUGGUUGAUGUUUAAAAGUUGGUUUUGCUAACACUAUGAGAUGGCUUUGCGGUGCAUUAGCUAGUUGGUGGGGUAAAGGCCUACCAAGGCGACGAUGCAUAGCCGACCUGAGAGGGUGAUCGGCCACACUGGGACUGAGACACGGCCCAGACUCCUACGGGAGGCAGCAGUAGGGAAUCUUCCGCAAUGGGCGAAAGCCUGACGGAGCAACGCCGCGUGAGUGAAGAAGGAUUUCGGUUCGUAAAGCUCUGUUGUUAGGGUAGAAUGAUUGUGUAGUAACUAUACACAGUAGAGACGGUACCUAACCAGAAAGCCACGGCUAACUACGUG
This 499-nucleotide ribosomal RNA is filed under the name uncultured bacterium. RNAcentral's name for it is "partial 16S ribosomal RNA". It matches the Rfam family "Bacterial small subunit ribosomal RNA", at positions 28 to 507 of the family's 1533-position model. The record is from RNAcentral.